AUUGAACGCUGGCGGCAGGCCAAACACAUGCAAGUCGAACGAGUGGCGGACGGGUGAGUAAUGUCUGGGAAACUGCCCGAUGGAGGGGGAUAACUACUGGAAACGGUAGCUAAUACCGCAUACCAUCGGAUGUGCCCAGAUGGGAUUAGCUAGUAGGUGGGGUAACGGCUCACCUAGGCGACGAUCCCUAGCUGGUCUGAGAGGAUGAACAGCCACACUGGAACUGGGACACGGUCCGGACUCCUACGGGAGGCAGCAGUGGGAAAUAUGGCACAAUGGGCGCAAGCCUGAUGCAGCCAUGCCGCGUGUAUGAAGAAGGCCUUCGGGUUGUAAAGUACUUCCAGCGAGGAGGCGUUACUCGCAGAAGAAGCACCGGCUAACUCAGUGCCAGCAGCCGCGGUAAUUC
Molecule: ribosomal RNA, 406 nt
Filed under: uncultured bacterium
Lineage: Bacteria
Description: partial 16S ribosomal RNA
Rfam family: Bacterial small subunit ribosomal RNA
Source: RNAcentral